GAUGAACGCUGGCGGCGUGCCUAAUACAUGCAAGUCGAGCGAACGGACGAGAAGCUUGCUUCUCUGAUGUUAGCGGCGGACGGGUGAGUAACACGUGGAUAACCUACCUAUAAGACUGGGAUAACUUCGGGAAACCGUAGCUAAUACCGGAUAAUAUUUUGAACCGCAUGGUUCAAAAGUGAAAGACGGUCUUGCUGUCACUUAUAGAUGGAUCCGCGCUGCAUUAGCUAGUUGGUAAGGUAACGGCCUACCAAGGCAACGAUGCAUAGCCGACCUGAGAGGGUGAUCGGCCACACUGGAACUGAGAAACGGGCCAGACUCCUACGGGAGGCCGCCGUAGGGAAUCUUUCGCAAUGGGCGGAAGCCUGACGGAGCCACGCCGCGUGGGUGAAGAAGGUCUUCGGUUCGUAAAACCCUGUUAUUAGGGAAGAACAUAUGUGUAAGUAACUGUGCACAUCUUGACGGUACCUAAUCAGAAAGCCACGGCUAACUACGUG
RNAcentral lists this ribosomal RNA (497 nucleotides) under uncultured bacterium. RNAcentral's name for it is "partial 16S ribosomal RNA". It matches the Rfam family "Bacterial small subunit ribosomal RNA", at positions 28 to 507 of the family's 1533-position model. The record is from RNAcentral.